UGCAAGAAAUGGCCAAUCUUGUUUCUGUGCUUGCCGUCGUCGACAUAAAAGCGGUGAUGUUUGUCAGGUAGCCUGAAAAUUGGAUACGAUGGUUUCACCAUCAACGUUCUGAAUUUUUCAAAAAGAUAUUUUCGGCUUUUUUGUGGCUGUCCUUGCUCAACAUCCUAUCGUUUCAUCUUCACAAUUGGCAUGAGAUUUGUCAUUCAUCGUAGUCUGUCGUCGAACUGCAAAGGAUUCGUCGAAAACCGUCUUUCUUCAUGUGAAAGCUGUCAUGUGGAAUAUAUAAUUCUUACGAGACUUUGUAAAUCAAUCAAUAAAUUUUGAUGCACAAUUCAA
Long non-coding RNA from Xenia sp. Carnegie-2017, 336 nucleotides. RefSeq lists it as uncharacterized. The record is from RefSeq and is a predicted model, not a curated record. Lineage: Eukaryota; Metazoa; Cnidaria; Anthozoa; Malacalcyonacea; Xeniidae. The transcript is spliced from 2 exons.